This 407-nucleotide long non-coding RNA is filed under the name Nicotiana tabacum (common tobacco). Its description in RNAcentral is "long non-coding RNA (NTAB_LNC016505)". Lineage: Eukaryota; Viridiplantae; Streptophyta; Magnoliopsida; Solanales; Solanaceae. The record is from RNAcentral.
AGGACUGUAACUCGAACACGAACUCAGAACCCAACAAAACCCCUUGGAUCUUGGUGUUUUAUAGAAUUUUUAGGUAGUAUUGUUUGAACUGAGUUUGUUUUGGAGUUUGGUGGCUAUGGAGGAUUUGGUUCAAGGCUGGUGGUUCUGGGUGGAACUAACGUGAAUAAAGUUGUAGUCACGGUUGUGAAGAUCACACGGCUAUGAAUAGAGGUGCGACGAAGCUGCACUGGUUCUUACACGAUGGACGAAAAAAGAAGAAGAAAAAUUGGUUUCUUAGCAAUGGAGUAGAGGAGAAAGAAUUAAGGGGAGAAGAGAAGAGAUCAAACUUUUCCCGAGAUCUCUCUGUUUUUUUUUUUUUUUUUAAACUCUCCCUCUCCUCUUGCUAUCUCACCGUGUGUCUCUCCUAG